Molecule: non-coding RNA, 5691 nt
Organism: Anas platyrhynchos (mallard)
Lineage: Eukaryota; Metazoa; Chordata; Aves; Anseriformes; Anatidae
Source: RefSeq, a predicted model, not a curated record
UAGGAGUCAUCUGACCUGAACUGAAACAUGUCAGGGUUAAAAUUCUACAUAUGAGUCUGUUACCUAGUCUUCUGCUAAAAUCAUUGUGUGCAGUAGAGGAAACUGUCCACAUAGUUUAUCCCAGCUGCAUUAGAACAGGUAAGUUGCUUCUAGAGAUACCUUACUCCCUCUAUUCCUUAUACAUUCUAAAUAUAUAUUUUAAAUGAUCUGCAUAUGUAUAGUCUAACAUCUAGAAUAUAAGAAAUAUUAAUAAACUCAGAGGAAUGUUUAGUUGCUCCCAUACAACAUGAUCUCAUCAGUAGUUGAAGGUUACUAUUGUAUAACUGGUCAGUAAACUAAAAAUAUUAGAGCAGUACCUAUCUGAAAAGAAAGGAAGCUCAUAUUCAUCAAAGUCUUAUAAUUACUGGACAUAUUUACAAGGGUAGAAAUCCUGGACCAAUACUCUUAAAGUAUGAGAAACCUGUUUUCCAAGGUUUUCCUGUUCAAAUUCCCCUUCAUUACAGUAGUUUAUGACUUAAGUUUCUUUACAGCAGCACUCUUGAGUUUACGUACCUACAGGAACACUGUGAAGUCCAGCUAUGAAAGAUCUUCAGUCAAGAGACAUUUAAACACCAGAAUCUUUUUAACGCUAAGGUAACAUAAGCAUAUCACUACAUGUGAUAUUCAACUGCACUUGAGAGUAAUUACUAAAGUUACUCAGUCAAUUUUAAAUACACUACUUCAUUUCAAGAAGGUUUGUCUGUCUAAUGUUCAUGCAACAGUGUAUAAAAAAUAACACUUGAAUUAACAGAACACCACUAUACUGAUUACAGUUAUAGUGGCUUUCAACUGUGAAAUAAUUUAAAUGUGAGAAUUGAAGAAUCAACAAGUAACUUCAUAAAUGGAGAUUGGUAGACAUGGAUAUGGUGGCUACUGUGUUUCUUCUGAGUAUCUGCACAUGGCAAUUUCAGGAGAGUUUUCAAAUGAAGAUAAAAUAAAACCAUUUGUGCAUAAUGAAAACUGGAUUGUGUCACUCGCAAAGCAUCUCAUGUAGGAGGCAGUACUGAUGCAGUGAUUCCUAGGAAAUCACCAGAUGAAGAGGGACUUCUCCAUUCCCUGAUCUCCCUUAAGCAAUCUCAGCAAACUCUGAAUUGUCUUUCUGCAUGGUGAAGACUGCUCUGAGAAAAUGCAACUCUCCCUCUGUAAGCUUGUCUUCCCUGAGAGAACUCAAAGGAAGAAAAAAAAAAAGAAAAAGAGCCUUGACAACAAUUCUGAGACCUUCACAAUGUCUCCUUGCACCUCUCCACUGCAUGCUUUUUUUAUGAACAGCAAGACAGAUAAGUCAUCAUGUUACAUUUUAUCUAUUUUCUUUACAGUGAAAUUGUGUGUUCCCCUAGCAGUAAGAGAACUAAAUACAAGCAUGCAUUUUAUUAAAAUACUCCUUUUAAAAUAAUACAAAUAAAGGGAAAUAGUUUCUAAACCUUUAUUAAUGCGGAUUUCUGGGCAUCAAAGUAAAAAACAAACAAACAAACAUGUUGGGUAACUAAAUAUGAGGCCUGAUCAUCAAAGAUUAUGAAUGUUGUCAGGUCUGUUACUACUGUUACUAUUUGCAGUCACCCUGACCCAAUACUUUGUACAUCUAAAUGUCUGAUCUUCAUGACAUAUACAGGAUCCAAGCAUCAAAGCCCUGAGUAUCCACUUCCCUGUCUUAUAGCCACUCACUCUACUCUUCAGUUUGAAAUACAGGUGCAACAAUAAGACCGCUGUGCUUGAUAAUCAAUCAAUAAAUAAAUAGUGUAAGACAAGAGAAACUUUUUAAGCUGUUAAUCGAUACAGUUUAAAACAUACUUCCAAGUACUGCCAAGGUUAACAUCUGAAUGGACUGUCUACCACAUACAUCUCAGCAUGGUUACAAUUUAUUAUAAUACAAAAGAGAUAUUUACAUGCAUGCACCACCCUCAUUCCUUUCCUGCCAGGCUUAGGUGUUUUUUAUUUGUUUAUUUCUUUUGUUCUUUGUUUUCUUGUUAUGUUUUUCAGUUGAUUUUUUUUUUUCCAAAUUCAAACUAUUAGGUAACAGUUUGGGGGAAUAUUACUUUGAUAUAUAUCAAAGUAUUUUAAAAAGAGGAAAAAAAAUAUCUUUAUUAAGAAGAUCAUAAAUAGAGUCAUAUUUUUAAGGUUCAAAUUUUAUUAAACUUGAAUUUAAAACCAGAAUCACCAUUUUGAUGCUUUGGGACAAGGUCCCAUUUCAUUUACACUUACAUAUCAUUUUUAAAGUAUUUCAUUGAAGAUUCUAUGUUAUCAUCUCUUUCCUAGGUCUACCCUUAAAUUGUAUUUCUGUUAUUGAUUUGAAUACUUUCAUACCAAUGUAUAAAUUGCAUUAAGAGAUUAAAAUCUAUUUAGUGUCUAAAAAUGUCUGUGGGCCAGUUAUAUUUUGGUUGUAAAAACAAGUAAGUGAAUGAACUAACAAAUGAAUACAUAAAUAAGUAAAAUUAAAACAGCUAGAAAAACAUUAGCAUCUGACUUUUCCUAAAUACGGGUUAAAGGUGUACGUGAGCAGACCUGGGUAAAAUGUCUACCCAGAAAAUAAAUUCUGAGUAUACAAAGUUUUGUCUACAGUUGUGAAACAUGACAGCCAUCCUGGUACCAAAGACAGAGUAAGUACAGAGAUGUGUUUGGGACCUAUGUGUGCUUGGAGCAGAAAAUAUUUGUUGCACUUGCACUGUUGUUGGCAUGGGAAAUACUAAAGUCAUGCAUGUCCAUGCACAGCGUAGUCAUCUUCAUCUUCUACGUGAACAUAUCCACAGCCUAAUAUAGGUGUUAGGUGAUGUAUAAUAUCAGGUGAUUUAAUUUUACCCAAAUGUAGAAGAUUUUAUAUUUAAAAUCUAAGUAGAAGAUAUUUAACUUAAUGUGUGUUAGAAAAAUGUUACAGAAUUGACUGUGCAAAACAAUGAAAAAUACUCGGAGGAAAUAUUAUAGAUGUUUGAGAUUAUUAAUCAUUGCAUACUUUACUUCCUCAGGGAACAGAGUACAUAUUAACAAAAUUCUUUUGUUAUUAAAUCAGAAGGCAAUUUGUACAGAUUUGUACAGGCAUUUGUACAGAUUUUUAACAGAACAUGCACAUCAUGAGAGAUUCUGUGUUGAUGAUGUGAUGUGUUAAGAACAAUGGCCAGCAGGUCAGGCACGUAUCCUCUUCUGAGAAAGCGCAAAGCAUAAUCUGUCAAACUAUUUAACAAGGCUGCAGUUUUAUGAAGAAUACAUUUUUAUUUACAAGGCAAAGUAAGUGCCAGAGCAGACUGCAAUAUAUUGCAAGCAACAAACACACCAAAUAAAAGACUUAAAAAUACAGCUAUCACAGAAUAACAGCAUGUUUGAGGUUGGAAGGGACCUCCAGAGAUCAUCUAGUCCAACUCCUCUGCUCAAACAGGGUCACCUAGAGCACCUUAUACAGGAUCACAUCCAGGCAGGUUUUGAGUAUCUCCAAAGAAGGAGACUCGACAACCAUGCUUUCCAAUACUCCACUGAAACCAAAAAUUAUAUCAAAACAUAUUUAUUAAAAAUAAGGGAAUAAAAAGAAAGAGAAUAUAUCAGAAGUGAAUAUUUUUUUCUUUCUGAUAACAACAUACAGCUUCUAUUCAGACUUCAUAAUCUGAAGCAUGGAGAUUUUAUCAGGAAAGUAGAUAAUGUUCAUAUGAUGUAUUCACAGAAUGAGGACACCACAGACAUCCAAGCUAGCAAUAUGAAAAGAAAUAUAUAUCUAUAUAUUUACUAAGAUUGGACAGUGUCAGGAAAGUUGUUCUGAGGAGACUAUUAAAUUCUAUAAUUCUGGCAUUGGCCCUUUUGCAACAGGCUUCAUAUCAGACUGAGCAAUUUGGAGAGCUUAAAUCAGUUCACAGCCCUUUUAACAAGCAUCUACAUGCAAGAUAAUGUGUUUUUAACCAUCUUAUGAUGGUGAACAGAAGUGACAUGGAGAUGACUAAGAUUCAAACAAUGAUGUCUAUCACUAGAUAUUCCAUUGACUCUAGCAUUAGAUGUUAUACAAACAUUAUCUAUAUGCCAAGACUACCUCCUCGUGAAGUUUAUGGAAAUUGUGAACAUAUAUUUGUUAUAUUGUAGUGAUGAAGAUUGACCCUGUUUCUAAUAGAGCUGCAAAAAUAAAAAAAAAAGCAAUUCCUAAUUUAAUUUGCACUUCAUUUCCCAUUAUAAGAUUCUUUCUCCUUAAUACCCUAUUGCUCUGUCACACUCACCUUUAUCUUCAUCAUGAGCUUUGUCAUUGAGACAGAUUGCUAUUUUAUAUCAGAACGGUUUCAUAUACCCUUGCCUUUCUCACUGGAAUCUUUAGGAGAGUCUUUAGGACCAGCUAUUCCAUAGUUAGCAUGAAUCUCUACUUUGGAUUCAGUGGGGCUACAUACGAUGGAUUUGAACAGAACAAAAUAGAACAGAACAGAACAGUUCAGUUGGAAGGGACCUACAAAGAUCCUCAAGUCCAACUGCCUGACCACUUCAGGACUAGCCAAAAGUUAAAGCAUGUUAUUGAAGACGUUAUCUAAAUGCCUUCUGAAAAUUGAUAGGCACUGGGAAUCUCUAGGAAGCCUGUUCCAGUGUUUGACCACCCUCAUGGUACAGAAUUUCUUCCUCAUACCCACUCUAACUCUUUCCGGUGCAGCUUUGUGCUGUUCCCACAAGUCCCUAUCAUCGCUGACCAGCACCUCCCUCUAAGCUUUCCCUCCUCAGGAAGUUGCAGAGAGCAAUGAGGCUGACUUUUUUUUCAGACUGGACAACCCAAGACUCACCACAUAUGUCAUCAUAGGAUAUGUCUUCCAGCCCUUUUACCAGCUUUGCUGCACUCCUCUGGAUGCAUACAAGUCAUUUUAACAUCCUUUUUAUAUUGUGGAGACCAGAACUGCACAUAGUAUUCAAGGUGCCAGGGCACACUGUUGGCUUGCACUGAGCUGCUGAUAACCAGAAACCUCAAAUUCCUUUGCUGCUGAUCUGCUAUCCAGACACUUGUCUUCCAAGUGAAACUUGAUCUUGGUAAAAAGGAAAGCAAUGGAUAGGUUUCACAGUCGACCAUUCUAGGAAAGCCACAACAUAAGAGCUCUACAAAAGCAAAGAUAUUUCAAAUCAGGUAAAAUUUUGGAAAUUUCAUAUUUUAUUGCAUGUUGUGAAGGGAAAACAGAGGUUUCUCUGUAUAUCUAACAAUUCUAUAAGAUACCCUAUAAACAGAGUACAGAAAAAGAAGACAUUGUACUUACAUUAAUUUCCUCAAACCUGUGUUUUGCUGUCUCUCCCUAGACUAUUUUGCCAACUGUCCUUGCUGUCUUCAUAGCUUUUUAAUAUGUUGCCAUAAACUUUCCCAUUAUUCACUUGAAUUUUAUUUGCUUGAAUUUUAUCUGUUUACAACUGCACUUAUAUUUUUCUUUCCUACAGAGGAUUAAGCAUAGCAGAGUACUUUCUAAAUCACAUAUCUUGCCUUGGAAGUAAAGAGUGUUCAGAGCUAAAUGAAUGUUCGUGAAAUAUUCAGUGAAUCAAUACAGUGUAAUUUCAGUGUCCAAAAAUACUUCUCCAGAUAGUUAUUUCCCAGUAGUAAUAUUUAUUAACAAUUUGUUCUUUAAUAUUUGUUCUUCAAUGGAAUUUAAUAACAAAACUCUUGGAUACCUUUACAGUGCUAAAAUGACCUAAAAAUUUGUUCUAAAAAUAUGUAAUUAAAGCAGU